GUYUUUUUGAUGUUAAUUUAAAGUCUGACCUGCCCACUGAAUUUUAAAUGGCCGUGGUAUUUUGACCGUGCUAAGGUAGCAUAAUCAUUAGUUUCUUAAUUGGAAUCUGGAAUGAAGGGUUGAAUAAGAAAAAAGCUGUCUCUAUUUAAUUAUCUUAGAAAUUUAUAUUUAAGUUAAAAAUCUUAAAUUUCUUUAAAAGACGAGAAGACCCUAUAGAGUUUAAUUAUUAAGAUUAUUAUUUAUUUAAGAAUUUAUAUAAAUAAUUAUUAAAUAAUUUAAUUGGGGUGAUUAAAAAAUUUAAUAAACUUUUUUUAUUUUUAUACAUUGAUUAAUGAUUAAUUGAUCCAAAAAUUUUGAUUAAAAGAAAAAAUUACCUUAGGGAUAACAGCGUAAUUUUUUUAGAGAGUUCAUAUUAAAAAAAAAGAUUGCGACCUCGAUGUUGGAUUAAAAUAAAAAUUUGGUGUAGAAGCUAAAUUAUUAAGUCUGUUCGACUUUUAAAAUUUUACA
This 507-nucleotide ribosomal RNA is filed under the name Leptinotarsa juncta (false potato beetle). Its description in RNAcentral is "partial 16S ribosomal RNA". It matches the Rfam family "Bacterial large subunit ribosomal RNA", at positions 1819 to 2600 of the family's 2925-position model. Lineage: Eukaryota; Metazoa; Arthropoda; Insecta; Coleoptera; Chrysomelidae. The record is from RNAcentral.